GCUCGAAUGGCGAAAUAGGCAGACGCACAGCACUCAAAAUGCUGCGGGGCAACCCGUGUCGGUUCGAGUCCGACUUCGAGCACCA
This 85-nucleotide transfer RNA is filed under the name Bacillota bacterium. RNAcentral describes it as "tRNA-Leu". It matches the Rfam family "tRNA". From Rfam's summary of the family: Transfer RNA (tRNA) molecules are approximately 80 nucleotides in length. Their secondary structure includes four short double-helical elements and three loops (D, anti-codon, and T loops). The record is from RNAcentral. Lineage: Bacteria; Bacillati; Bacillota.